UACGUAGGGGGCAAGCGUUGUCCGGAUUUACUGGGCGUAAAGAGCGUGUAGGCGGCCACGCAGGUCCGUUGUGAAAACUGGAGGCUCAACCUCCAGCUGUCGACGGAAACCGUAUGGCUAGAGUCCGGAAGAGGAGAGUGGAAUUCCUGGUGUAGCGGUGAAAUGCGCAGAUAUCAGGAAGAACACCCGUGGCUAAGGCGGCUCUCUAGUACGGUACUGACGCUGAGACGCGAAAGCGUGGGGAGCGAACAGG
RNAcentral lists this ribosomal RNA (253 nucleotides) under uncultured bacterium. RNAcentral describes it as "partial 16S ribosomal RNA". It matches the Rfam family "Bacterial small subunit ribosomal RNA", at positions 524 to 776 of the family's 1533-position model. The record is from RNAcentral.